AGGACGAACGCUGGCGGCGUGCUUAACACAUGCAAGUCGAGCGGUAAGGCUCCUUCGGGAGUACACGAGCGGCGAACGGGUGAGUAACACGUGAGCAAUCUGCCCUUCACAUCGGAAUAACUUCGGGAAACCGAAGCUAAUACCGGAUAUGACCAUCACGGGCAUCCGCGAUGGUGGAAAGUUCCGGCGGUGAAGGAUGAGCUCGCGGCCUAUCAGCUUGUUGGUGGGGUAAUGGCCUACCAAGGCGACGACGGGUAGCCGGCCUGAGAGGGUGACCGGCCACACUGGGACUGAGACACUGCCCAGACUCCUACGGGAGGCAGCAGUGGGGAAUAUUGGACAAUGGGCGAAAGCCUGAUCCAGCAACGCCGCGUGAGGGAUGACGGCCUUCGGGUUGUAAACCUCUUUCAGCAGGGACGAAGCGCAAGUGACGGUACCUGCAGAAGAAGCACCGGCCAACUACGUGCCAGCAGCCGCGGU
RNAcentral lists this ribosomal RNA (480 nucleotides) under uncultured bacterium. RNAcentral describes it as "SSU rRNA". It matches the Rfam family "Bacterial small subunit ribosomal RNA", at positions 26 to 521 of the family's 1533-position model. The record is from RNAcentral.